This 452-nucleotide long non-coding RNA is filed under the name Linum usitatissimum (flax). RNAcentral describes it as "long non-coding RNA (LUSI_LNC004346)". The record is from RNAcentral. Lineage: Eukaryota; Viridiplantae; Streptophyta; Magnoliopsida; Malpighiales; Linaceae.
UAUCUGAUUCACGUAGAGAAGGAGAGGCUGUCUGGCUGCCUGGUACACUCUGAGGGGAAGACCUACGUACUCGAAUCGGAGCUUUAUCUGACUCGGGCACAGCAGAAGCUGGUGUGAUUGGCCUUCCUUCACUUUCAGGCAGAUUUCUAUGGCUGCCAGGUAACCCGUGAGAAGAAGAUCUGCGUAUUCGGAUCGGAGCUUUAUCUGACUCGGGCACAGCAGAAGCUGGUGUGAUUGGCCUUCCUUCACUUUCAGGCAGAUUUCUAUGGCUGCCAGGUAACCCGUGAGAAGAAGAUCUGCGUAUUCGGAUCGGAGCUUUAUCUGAUUCAGGUACAGCAACAGAGGCUGUAAUGGGUGCCGACAGAGGAGUUGGUGGACUUCUAUCUGCUUCAGGAGUUGUAUCACUUGCUAUUGCGGCAGUCUCAAUUGUUUCGGGAACGGGAUUAUCUCCG